RNAcentral lists this ribosomal RNA (305 nucleotides) under uncultured bacterium. RNAcentral's name for it is "bacterial SSU rRNA". It matches the Rfam family "Bacterial small subunit ribosomal RNA", at positions 336 to 633 of the family's 1533-position model. The record is from RNAcentral.
UUCCUACGGGGGGCAGCAGUAGGGAAUUUUCGUCAAUGGGCGCAAGCCUGAACGAGCAAUGCCGCGUGAACGAGGAAGGUCUUCGGAUCGUAAAGUUCUGUUGAAGGGGAAAAAGAGCGGAGAGAGGAAAUGGUCUCCGAUUGAUAUUACCCUUCGAGGAAGUCACGGCUAACUACGUGCCAGCAGCCGCGGUAAUACGUAGGUGGCAAGCGUUGUCCGGAUUUACUGGGUGUAAAGGGCGUGCAGCCGGAGAGACAAGUCAGAUGUGAAAUCCACGGGCUCAACCCGUGAACUGCAUUUGAAAC